UUGGAGGGCAAGUCUGGUGCCAGCAGCCGCGGUAAUUCCAGCUCCAAUAGCGUAUAUUAAAGUUGUUGCAGUUAAAAAGCUCGUAGUUGAAUUUCGGGAUCAAUACGUCGGUCAUGCCUCUGGUAUGUACUGGUGUUAUUGGUUUCUCCUUUCUGAGGAGCCAUGAUGUCAUUAAUUUGGUGUCGUGGGGAAUCAGGACUGUUACUUUGAAAAAAUUAGAGUGUUUAAAGCAGGCACGCGCUUGAAUACAUUAGCAUGGAAUAAUGAAAUAGGACGUUCGAUUCUAUUUUGUUGGUUUCUAGGAUCAACGUAAUGAUUAAUAGGGAUAGUUGGG
This 334-nucleotide unclassified non-coding RNA is filed under the name uncultured Glomerales. Its description in RNAcentral is "SSU rRNA". It matches the Rfam family "Eukaryotic small subunit ribosomal RNA", at positions 548 to 886 of the family's 1831-position model. The record is from RNAcentral. Lineage: Eukaryota; Fungi; Glomeromycota; Glomeromycetes; Glomerales; Glomeraceae. RNAcentral also lists the same sequence under 1 other name.